Molecule: ribosomal RNA, 918 nt
Filed under: uncultured archaeon
Lineage: Archaea
Description: bacterial SSU rRNA
Rfam family: Archaeal small subunit ribosomal RNA
Source: RNAcentral
UUCCGGUUGAUCCUGCCAGAGGUUACUGCUAUCGGUGUUCGCCUAAGCCAUGCGAGUCAUAUGUAGCAAUACAUGGCGUACUGCUCAGUAACACGUGGAUAACCUGCCCUUGGGACCGGCAUAACCCCGGGAAACUGGGGAUAAUUCCGGAUAACGCAUAUUUGCUGGAAUGCUUUAUGCGUCAAAAGGAUUCGUCUGCCCAAGGAUGGGUCUGCGGCCUAUCAGGUAGUAGUGGGUGUGAUGUACCUACUAGCCAGCGACGGGUACGGGUUGUGAGAGCAAGAGCCCGGAGAUGGAUUCUGAGACAUGAAUCCAGGCCCUACGGGGCGCAGCAGGCGCGAAAACUUUACAAUGCGGGAAACCGUGAUAAGGGGACACCGAGUGCCAGCAUCAUAUGCUGGCUGUCCGGAUGUGUAAAAUACAUCCGUUAGCAAGGGCCGGGCAAGACCGGUGCCAGCCGCCGCGGUAACACCGGCGGCCCGAGUGGUGAUCGUGAUUAUUGGGUCUAAAGGGUCCGUAGCCGGUUUGGUCAGUCCUCCGGGAAAUCUGAUAGCUUAACUAUUAGGCUUUCGGGGGAUACUGCCAGACUUGGAACCGGGAGAGGUAAGAGGUACUACAGGGGUAGGAGUGAAAUCUUGUAAUCCCUGUGGGACCACCUGUGGCGAAGGCGUCUUACCAGAACGGGUUCGACGGUGAGGGACGAAAGCUGGGGGCACGAACCGGAUUAGAUACCCGGGUAGUCCCAGCCGUAAACGAUGCUCGCUAGGUGUCAGGCAUGGCGCGACCGUGUCUGGUGCCGCAGGGAAGCCGUGAAGCGAGCCACCUGGGAAGUACGGCCGCAAGGCUGAAACUUAAAGGAAUUGGCGGGGGAGCACAACAACGGGUGGAGCCUGCGGUUUAAUUGGAUUCAACGCCGGG